This 182-nucleotide ribosomal RNA is filed under the name uncultured bacterium. RNAcentral's name for it is "partial 16S ribosomal RNA". It matches the Rfam family "Bacterial small subunit ribosomal RNA", at positions 340 to 523 of the family's 1533-position model. The record is from RNAcentral.
UACGGGGGCAGCAGUGGGGAAUAUUGCACAAUGGGCGCAAGCCUGAUGCAGCGACGCCGCGUGGGGGAUGACGGCCUUCGGGUUGUAAACCUCUUUCAGCCUCGACGAAGCUCCGGGGUGUCUCGGGGUGACGGUAGGGGCAGAAGAAGCACCGGCCAACUACGUGCCAGCAGCCGCGGUAA